UAUCUCUGUAGAGUCUGCAUAUCAAUAAGCGGAGGAAAAGAAACUAACAUAGGAUUCCCUCAGUAACGGCGAGUGAAGCGGGAAGAGCUCAAAUUUGAAAUCUUCAAGGGUUCUACCUUUACGAAUUGUAGUUUAAAGAAGUGUCUUCUGUUGAGGUUUUGGUAAAAGUUCUUUGGAAUAGGACAUCAUAGAGGGUGAGAAUCCCGUAUUUGACCAUUACUUUCCAGCUUUGUGAUACACUUUCAAAGAGUCGGAUUGUUUGGGAAUGCAGUCCAAAAUGGGUGGUAAAUUUCAUCUAAAGCUAAAUAUUGGCGAGAGACCGAUAGCGAACAAGUACCGUGAGGGAAAGAUGAAAAGAACUUUGAAAAGAGAGUUAAACAGUACGUGAAAUUGUCAAAAGGGAAGCGUUUGACACCAGUGUUGUUUUUCUGAAAAUCAAUUAAAGAACUGUUUAUGCUAAGCUGUUUAGACUUUAUCAGCUAAUCUGUUUAGUUUUGAGCUUUUCUUUAAUGCACUUUUCAGUUAACAAGUCAACAUCAAUUUCUUUUGCUGUAAAAAAGCUUGAGGAAGGUGGCUUGAGAUUCGUCUUAAGUGUUUAUAGCCUCUUGCCUAUGCAGUCGGAGAGAUUGAGGUCUGCAGCGUAGAUCCUUCGGGGCUAAAUGCAUUUGUGCUAAGUUAUAGCAUUUUAUAGACAACUUGUUGACUAUGAUUUGUCUUGUAGCUUACUCGCUUAUGUUAUUUUACCUACGCUUAGGAUGUUGACGAUCAGCUGAGCGCG
Molecule: ribosomal RNA, 778 nt
Filed under: uncultured Neocallimastigales
Lineage: Eukaryota; Fungi; Neocallimastigomycota; Neocallimastigomycetes; Neocallimastigales
Description: partial large subunit ribosomal RNA
Rfam family: Eukaryotic large subunit ribosomal RNA
Source: RNAcentral